Molecule: ribosomal RNA, 123 nt
Filed under: Pteropus alecto (black flying fox)
Lineage: Eukaryota; Metazoa; Chordata; Mammalia; Chiroptera; Pteropodidae
Source: RNAcentral
ACAUACAAGUACCAUCGUUAGCAUGCUUAAUGUCCACACUGACAACAAGGCUGAGUUAAGGAGAGUUGGGCCUGGUUAGUACUUGGAUGGGAGACCACCUAGGAAGACCAGGUGUUGUAGGUG